UGGGGAAUCUUCCGCANUGGGCGAAAAGCCUGACGGAGCAACGCCGCGUGGGUGAAGAAGGUCUUCGGAUCGUAAAGCCCUGUUGCCCGGGACGAACGCCCCCGGCGCGAACAGCGCCGGGGGGUGACGGUACCGGGCGAGGAGGCCACGGCCAACUACGUGCCAGCAGCCGCGGUAAUACGUNGGUGGCGAGCGUUGUCCGGAAUCAUUGGGCGUAAAGGGAGCGCAGGCGGGCAUGCAAGUCCAUCUUAAAAGCGCGGGGCCCAACCCCGCGAGGGGAUGGAAACUGCNUGCCUUGAGUGCAGGAGAGGAAAGCGGAAUUCCCAGUGUAGCGGUGAAAUGCGUAGAUAUUGGGAGGAACACCAGUGGCGAAGGCGGCUUUCUGGACUGCAACUGACGCUGAGGCUCGAAAGCCAGGGGGAGCGAACGGGAUUAGAUACCCCGGUAGUCCUGGCCGUAAAACGAUGAAUGCUAGGUGUGGGGGGUAUCGACCCCUCCCGUGCCGGAGUCAACGCAAUAAGCAUUCCGCCUGGGGAUUACGACCGCAAGGUUG
This 553-nucleotide ribosomal RNA is filed under the name uncultured bacterium. RNAcentral describes it as "bacterial SSU rRNA". It matches the Rfam family "Bacterial small subunit ribosomal RNA", at positions 355 to 896 of the family's 1533-position model. The record is from RNAcentral.